GAUGAACGCUGGCGGCGUGCCUAAUACAUGCAAGUCGAGCGAACAGACGAGGAGCUUGCUCCUCUGACGUUAGCGGCGGACGGGUGAGUAACACGUGGAUAACCUACCUAUAAGACUGGGAUAACUUCGGGAAACCGGAGCUAAUACCGGAUAAUAUAUUGAACCGCAUGGUUCAAUAGUGAAAGACGGUUUUGCUGUCACUUAUAGAUGGAUCCGCGCCGCAUUAGCUAGUUGGUAAGGUAACGGCUUACCAAGGCAACGAUGCGUAGCCGACCUGAGAGGGGGGUCGGCCAAACAGGAAAUGGAAAACGGUCCCGAAUCCUAAGGGAGGGCGCAGUAGGGGAACUUCCGCAAUGGGCGAAAGCCUGACGGAGGAACGCCGCGUGAGUGAAGGAAGUCUUCCGGUCGGAAAACCCUUUUAUUAGGGAAAAAAAAAUGUGUAAGGAAACGAGCCCCUCUUGACGGUACCUAAUAAGAAAGCCCCGGCUAAAUACGUG
This 497-nucleotide ribosomal RNA is filed under the name uncultured bacterium. Its description in RNAcentral is "partial 16S ribosomal RNA". It matches the Rfam family "Bacterial small subunit ribosomal RNA", at positions 28 to 507 of the family's 1533-position model. The record is from RNAcentral.